UACGUAGGUGGCAAGCGUUGUCCGGAUUUACUGGGCGUAAAGGAUGCGUAGGCGGACAUUUAAGUCAGAUGUGAAAUACCCGAGCUUAACUUGGGUGCUGCAUUUGAAACUGGGUGUCUAGAGUGCAGGAGAGGUAAGUAGAAUUCCUAGUGUAGCGGUGAAAUGCGUAGAGAUUAGGAAGAAUACCAGUGGCGAAGGCGACUUUCUGGACUGUAACUGACACUGAGGCUCGAAAGCGUGGGGAGCAAACAGG
Molecule: ribosomal RNA, 253 nt
Filed under: uncultured bacterium
Lineage: Bacteria
Description: partial 16S ribosomal RNA
Rfam family: Bacterial small subunit ribosomal RNA
Source: RNAcentral